CUCUUCCUCCUCAUCUUCUUCUUCUGAUGUUUUCGCCUCAUUUCAUCCUUACAAAGUUCUGGUUCUGGUUCAGUUCUGGUUCUUUAUAAUCCAUGACAGAGUUUUUAGUUUUAAGGUUCUUCUGUCUGUCCCCCAAAGAUUCUUCUCCUCCAGUCUUUCUCUUCAUAAUCUGAAGGUUUGAUAAUCUGAAGGUUUGAUAAUCUGAAGGUUUGAUAAUCUGACUUCAACCCGGUUUUUGAGAGUCCAGCAGCAGAUCCACCUG
This is a non-coding RNA of Xyrichtys novacula (pearly razorfish), 262 nucleotides long. NCBI's taxonomy places the organism in Eukaryota, Metazoa, Chordata, Actinopteri, Labriformes, Labridae. The record is from the annotation of a GenBank genome assembly.